AUGCUCACUUUGGCAGCACAUAUACUAAAAUUGGAAUGAUGCAAAGAAGAUUAGCAUGGCCCCGCACAAGGGUAACACACAAAUUCCUGAAACAUUCCAUAUUUUU
This is a small nuclear RNA of Monodelphis domestica (gray short-tailed opossum), 106 nucleotides long. Lineage: Eukaryota; Metazoa; Chordata; Mammalia; Didelphimorphia; Didelphidae. The record is from Ensembl.